RNAcentral lists this long non-coding RNA (1629 nucleotides) under Physcomitrium patens. RNAcentral's name for it is "long non-coding RNA (PPAT_LNC009804)". Lineage: Eukaryota; Viridiplantae; Streptophyta; Bryopsida; Funariales; Funariaceae. The record is from RNAcentral.
GCACAUCCGCCACUGUGGACGGGUCCAUUGCUGCCACAUAACGCCAUCGCCACCGAAAUUCUCGAUGGAAGCUACGACUGCCGUGGAGCUGCUGCAACAAGGCUGUGGCGAGCUUCGUUAUCAUGCGGAGGAGGAGCCAGGACAGGUCUCCACCGUGCGCCAGGCAGUGUCUGGAGCGUCGUCGGUCAGGCAGUCAUCGUCCGCUGCGACCUUGAGGGUGUCCGGCGGGAGAUCAUGGACUGGAGGAAAGCACCUGGAAAGGAGUCACUCACUUCCCGUACCGGAGCAACCCAUGAGGGGCAGGUUUCAGAGCUUCCACGCCAGAUUUGCGGCGCUUCACUGAUCCACCCAUCCGCCCACCCGCCGAAGUCGGUGAUUCUGCCCACUUGAAUCUCUGCCCUUUCGUCGUCGUGGUCUUCCUCUCCCUCUCCCUUCUCUACCAUGCCUUUCUCCUCGUGUAGCACUCUGCGUUGCUUCCGGGAAAGCCUUCCAUUAUACAAACGCAUUUCUCAUAACUUCCUUGUUCCUGUUUGGUACCCCAUUUGUUUGUUUGUUGGGUAUAUAUAUACACAUACAUACAUAUGAUCCAGGAGUCAUGAUCCCCAGGUUUUUCCUGACACUAGGAACUGCAUCAGUCUAAGAUUAUAACAACAUAAUAAUAUGAGAAACAUGAGAAAGCCUACCUCAUGUGUCAGCACAUACAUCAGUGUUUCAUACAAAUAAGAAGGGGUCACACAUUCAUCUAUUCUUUAUUGUUGUUAGUUUAUUUGUUUGUGAACAUGUAUACCUGCAGGGGUCAACUUAUUUGGGGGGUUGCAAGGAAACAUGGCCAUUCCAUAGUGAGGGGGGGUCCCUUUAUAUGGCCAAGACUGUCCUUGCUGUUGGGAGCCCCACUGCAGAUGCCCCCUCCUGCCUCCUCUAUUAUCACCAUUGUAAUUCAUACUGCCUCUACUUCUACUGCUGUUGUUAUGGUGGUGGUGGUGGUGAGUAAAUGAAUUUCAUGCUUUGACUUCUUCUGAGGCAUUGUUAUUAAGGAGCUGAGCUUGAAUGGCACAAAUCACAUCUUAAAUGUUUCCAUUCCUUGAACAAAAAUAGAUGGGAGAAAGGGCAGAGGGGGAUGCUAAUUAGAGUGGGCUUACACCUAGCCAUAUGCAGAGAAACAAUCCAUGAUGUUGGAUAAUUUGUGUAGUAAACCCAUGAUUCUUCACCAAUAAGACUGAUAUUUGUUGUUGUUGGGUUUCUUAUUGUAGGUUUUUCUAAAACAUUCACAAAAAUGCAUGCAAGACACCCUAUUGGGUCCACUUCAUGACUCUCCUAUCUUAAUCCAUUUUUGAUGAUAUAAAUGUUUGCAGUUUCUGUUUCUUUGUUUCAUGAACCACUUUAUGCCUUUUCCACUUACAACAAAUAAAUAAGCAUACAGGAAGAGAUAUGGAUGUGUGUAUAUAUAUAUAUAUAUAUAAAUUACCCUCAUUAUUUGAGAGACCUUCAAGCCCAGCAUCACCAAUGAAUGAAUGAAGGAAGAGAAAGUGGAGAGAUAAAUAGUGGAUGGAUUAAUUCAAGGGAACAAAAGGGGACACCCUCACAACUAUGUUUGCAGGUCUGUGUGAAUGAGUGUGUACAUGUGUUUUU